This 416-nucleotide ribosomal RNA is filed under the name Streptococcus anginosus. RNAcentral's name for it is "bacterial SSU rRNA". It matches the Rfam family "Bacterial small subunit ribosomal RNA", at positions 28 to 429 of the family's 1533-position model. Lineage: Bacteria; Bacillati; Bacillota; Bacilli; Lactobacillales; Streptococcaceae. The record is from RNAcentral.
GACGAACGCUGGCGGCGUGCCUAAUACAUGCAAGUAGGACGCACAGUCUAUACCGUAGCUUGCUACACCAUAGCUGUGAGUUGCGAACGGGUGAGUAACGCGUAGGUAACCUGCCUAUUAGAGGGGGAUAACUAUUGGAAACGAUAGCUAAUACCGCAUAACAGUAUGUAACACAUGUUAGAUGCUUGAAAGAUGCUAUUGCAUCGCUAGUAGAUGGACCUGCGUUGAUUAGCUAGUAGGUAGGGUAAAGGCCUACCUAGGCAACGAUAUAUAGCCGACCUGAGAGGGUGAUCGGCCACACUGGGACUGAGACACGGCCCAGACUCUACGGGAGGCAGCAGUAGGGAAUCUUCGGCAAUGGGGGGAACCCUGACCGAGCAACGCCGCGUGAGUGAAGAAGGUUUUCGGAUCGUAAA